CUCUGUGACUCCUACGGGAGGCAGCAGUGGGGAAUAUUGCACAAUGGGGGAAGCCCUGAUGCAGCCAUGCCGCGUGUGUGAAGAAGGCCUUCGGGUUGUAAAGCACUUUCAGUAGGGAGGAAGGUAGUGUAGUUAACACCUGCACUAUUUGACGUUACCUACAGAAGAAGCACCGGCUAACUCCGUGCCAGCAGCCGCGGUAAUACGGAGGGUGCGAGCGUUAAUCGGAAUUACUGGGACGUAAAGCGCAUGCAGGCGGCCUGUUAAGUCAGAUGUGAAAGCCCCGGGGCUUAACCUCGGAAUUGCAUUUGAAACUGGCAGGCUAGAGUCUUGUAGAGGGGGUAGAAUUUCAGGUGUAGCGGUGAAAUGCGUAGAGAUCUGAAGGAAUACCAGUGGCGAAGGCGGCCCCCUGGACAAAGACUGACGCUCAGAUGCGAAAGCGUGGGGAGCAAACAGGAUUAGAUACCCUGGUAG
Molecule: ribosomal RNA, 474 nt
Filed under: uncultured bacterium
Lineage: Bacteria
Description: bacterial SSU rRNA
Rfam family: Bacterial small subunit ribosomal RNA
Source: RNAcentral